This 251-nucleotide ribosomal RNA is filed under the name uncultured prokaryote. RNAcentral describes it as "partial 16S rRNA". It matches the Rfam family "Bacterial small subunit ribosomal RNA", at positions 525 to 775 of the family's 1533-position model. The record is from RNAcentral.
ACGGAGGGGGCGAGCGUUAUUCGGAAUUACUGGGUGUAAAGGGUAUGCAGGCGGCCCUUCAAGUCGCGUGUGAAAGUCCAGUGCUCAACGCUGGGAGUGCACUUGAUACUGCUUGACUUGAGUGCUGGAGAGGUGAGCGGAAUUCCCGGUGUAGUGGUGAAAUGCGUAGAGAUCGGGAGGAACACCAGUGGCGCAGGCGGCAUACUAGACAGUUACUGACGCUGAGAUACGAAAGCGUGGGGAUCAAACAG